Molecule: transfer RNA, 72 nt
Filed under: Salmonella enterica subsp. enterica
Lineage: Bacteria; Pseudomonadati; Pseudomonadota; Gammaproteobacteria; Enterobacterales; Enterobacteriaceae
Description: tRNA-OTHER
Rfam family: tRNA
About the family: Transfer RNA (tRNA) molecules are approximately 80 nucleotides in length.
Source: RNAcentral
GCGGGCAUCGUAUAUCGGCUUACCUCAGCCUCCAAGCUGAUGAUGCGGGUUCGAUUCCCGCUGCCCGCUCCA